CACAAGCGGUGGAUGAUGUGGUUUAAUUCGAUGCAACGCGAAAACCUUACCCACCUUUGACAUGUAUGGAAGUUUCCAGAGAUGGAUUCGUGCUCGAAAGAGAGCCAUAACACAGGUGCUGCAUGGCUGUCGUCAGCUCGUGUCGUGAGAUGUUGGGUUAAGUCCCGCAACGAGCGCAACCCUUGUCAUUAGUUGCUACAUUCAGUUGGGCACUCUAAUGAGACUGCCGGUGACAAACCGGAGGAAGGUGGGGAUGACGUCAAGUCCUCAUGGCCCUUAUAGGUGGGGCUACACACGUCAUACAAUGGCCGGUACAAAGGGUCGCAAACCCGCGAGGGGGAGCCAAUCCAUCAAAGCCGGUCGUAGUCCGGAUCGCAGUCUGCAACUCGACUGCGUGAAGUCGGAAUCGCUAGUAAUCGUGGAUCAGCAUGUCACGGUGAAUACGUUCCCGGGUCUU
RNAcentral lists this ribosomal RNA (457 nucleotides) under uncultured Hydrogenophaga sp. RNAcentral's name for it is "bacterial SSU rRNA". It matches the Rfam family "Bacterial small subunit ribosomal RNA", at positions 924 to 1382 of the family's 1533-position model. Lineage: Bacteria; Pseudomonadati; Pseudomonadota; Betaproteobacteria; Burkholderiales; Comamonadaceae. The record is from RNAcentral.